GUUGUAUGGUUAAGUGACUAAGCGUACACGGUGGAUGCCUUGGCAGUCAGAGGCGAUGAAGGACGUAUUAACUUGCGAUAAGCCCAGAUUAGGUAGUAAAAACCAUUUGAGUCUGGGAUUUCCGAAUGGGGAAACCCACUUGCAUAAGCAAGUAUCCUGUUGUGAAUACAUAGCAACAGGAGGCGAACCGGGGGAACUGAAACAUCUAAGUACCCCGAGGAAAAGAAAUCAACCGAGAUUCCGAAAGUAGCGGCGAGCGAAAUUGGACUAGCCCUUAAGCUUUAUAUGCGUUAGACGAACGGUCUGGAAAGUCCGGCGAUACAGGGUGAUAGCCCCGUAGUUGACAACGCACAUUCAGUGAAAUCGAGUAGGGCGGGACACGUGAUAUCCUGUCUGAAUAUGGGGGGACCAUCCUCCAAGGCUAAAUACUACUGACUGACCGAUAGUGAACCAGUACCGUGAGGGAAAGGCGAAAAGAACCCCUGUGAGG
This 490-nucleotide ribosomal RNA is filed under the name Vibrio rotiferianus. Its description in RNAcentral is "partial 23S ribosomal RNA". It matches the Rfam family "Bacterial large subunit ribosomal RNA", at positions 1 to 534 of the family's 2925-position model. The record is from RNAcentral. Lineage: Bacteria; Pseudomonadati; Pseudomonadota; Gammaproteobacteria; Vibrionales; Vibrionaceae.